GCCGGUCGGCGGCACGACGGCGGUGUCGUCGUCGCCCGCCGCGGCGCGGUCGAAGACGCGGCCGAGCAUCGGCUCGACGCCGAUCGAGCGGUAC
RNAcentral lists this transfer RNA (94 nucleotides) under Streptomyces olivochromogenes. RNAcentral's name for it is "tRNA-Ala". Lineage: Bacteria; Bacillati; Actinomycetota; Actinomycetes; Kitasatosporales; Streptomycetaceae. The record is from RNAcentral.